AGUGGCGGACGGGUGAGUAACGCGUGAGAAUCUGCCUUGGGGUCGGGGACAACCACUGGAAACGGUGGCUAAUACCGGAUACGCCUUCGGGUAAAAGAUUUAUUGCCCUAAGAGGAGCUCGCGUCUGAUUAGCUAGUUGGUGAGGUAAGAGCUCACCAAGGCAGCGAUCAGUAGCUGGUCUGAGAGGACGAUCAGCCACACUGGGACUGAGACACGGCCCAGACUCCUACGGGAGGCAGCAGUGGGGAAUUUUCCGCAAUGGGCGAAAGCCUGACGGAGCAAGACCGCGUGAGGGAGGAAGGCUCUUGGGUUGUAAACCUCUUUUCUCAGGGAAGAAGAUCUGACGGUACCUGAGGAAUCAGCCUCGGCUAACUCCGUGCCAGCAGCCGCGGUAAUACGGAGGAGGCAAGCGUUAUCCGGAAUUAUUGGGCGUAAAGCGUCCGCAGGUGGCGAUUCAAGUCUGCUGUCAAAGCACGGGGCUUAACUCCGUAAAGGCAGUGGAAACUGAAUAGCUAGAGUGCCGUAGGGGUAGAGGGAAUUCCCGGUGUAGCGGUGAAAUGCGUAGAGAUCGGGAAGAACAUCGGUGGCGAAAGCGCUCUACUGGACGGCAACUGACACUCAGGGACGAAAGCUAGGGGAGCGAAUGGGAUUAGAUACCCC
RNAcentral lists this ribosomal RNA (660 nucleotides) under uncultured bacterium. RNAcentral describes it as "bacterial SSU rRNA". It matches the Rfam family "Bacterial small subunit ribosomal RNA", at positions 94 to 788 of the family's 1533-position model. The record is from RNAcentral.